This 219-nucleotide unclassified non-coding RNA is filed under the name Hevea brasiliensis (rubber tree). The record is from RNAcentral. Lineage: Eukaryota; Viridiplantae; Streptophyta; Magnoliopsida; Malpighiales; Euphorbiaceae.
GGGAAUGCUACUGAGGUUUGGAAGAACUAUGUUUGUGAAGCUUCAGCUUCAGGUGUUUGUACAACUCCUGGCCGGCUGACCCCAACUUACUACAGUCAAAUGGCGGCUGCUGUAAAUGUAAGCUUUGGUUUGUACAAGUAUGGUCCAUACUUGGUUAGUUUGGAAGAUUGCUCUUUUGUGCGGCAAGCAUUCACAGACAUACAAAACAACUAUUGUCCC